GACGAACGCUGGCGGCGUGCUUAACACAUGCAAGUCGAACGGUAAGGCCCUUCGGGGUACACGAGUGGCGAACGGGUGAGUAACACGUGGGUGAUCUGCCCUGCACUUCGGGAUAAGCCUGGGAAACUGGGUCUAAUACCGGAUAGGACCCUGGGAUGCAUGUCCUGGGGUGGAAAGCUUUUGCGGUGUGGGAUGGGCCCGCGGCCUAUCAGCUUGUUGGUGGGGUGAUGGCCUACCAAGGCGACGACGGGUAGCCGGCCUGAGAGGGGGACCGGCCACACUGGGACUGAGAUACGGCCCAGACUCCCACGGGAGGCAGCAGUGGGGAAUAUUGCACAAUGGGCGCAAGCCUGAUGCAGCGACGCCGCGUGAGGGAUGACGGCCUUCGGGUUGUAAACCUCUUUCAGCACCGACGAAGCGCAAGUGACGGUAGGUGCAGAAGAAGGACCGGCCAACUACGUGCCAGCAGCCGCGGUAA
RNAcentral lists this ribosomal RNA (478 nucleotides) under uncultured bacterium. Its description in RNAcentral is "partial 16S ribosomal RNA". It matches the Rfam family "Bacterial small subunit ribosomal RNA", at positions 28 to 523 of the family's 1533-position model. The record is from RNAcentral.